RNAcentral lists this ribosomal RNA (736 nucleotides) under uncultured archaeon. RNAcentral describes it as "bacterial SSU rRNA". It matches the Rfam family "Archaeal small subunit ribosomal RNA", at positions 142 to 879 of the family's 1478-position model. The record is from RNAcentral.
GGGGAUAAUUCUGAAUAGAUCACAUAUGCUGGAAUGCUUUGUGAUUAAAAGAUCCGUCGCCCAAGGAUGGGUCUGCGGCCUAUCAGGUUGUACUGGGUCUAGAGUACCUACUAGCCUACGACGGGUACGGGUUGUGAGAGCAAGAGCCCGGAGAUGGAUUCUGAGACAUUAAUCCAUGCCCUACGGGGCGCAGCAGGCGCGAAACCUUUACUCUGCGGGAAACCGCGAUAAGGGGACACCGAGUGCCAUCAUACGAUGCUGGCUGUCCACAUGUGUAAAUAGCAUGUGAUAGCAAGGGCCGGGCAAGACCGGUGCCAGCCGCCGCGGUAACACCGGCGGCCCGAGUGGUAAUCACUAUUAUUGGGUCUAAAGGGUCCGUAUCCGGUUUAAUCAUGCUUCCGGGAAAUCUGACAGCUCAACUGUUAUGCUACCGGGGGAUACUGUUAUACUUGGGACCGGGAGAGGUAAGAGGUACUACCGGGGUAGGAGUGAAAUCUUGUAAUCCCUGUGGGACCACCAGUGGCGAAGGCGUCUUACCAGAACGGGUCCGACGGUGAGGGACGAAAGCUGGGUGCACGAACCGGAUUAGAUACCCGGGUAGUCCCAUCCGUAAACGAUGCUCGCUAGGUGUCUGGAAUGGUGCGACCGUUUCAGGUGCCUCAGGGAAGCCGUGAAGCGAGCCACCUGGGAAGUACGGCCGCAAGGCUGAUACUUAAAGGAAUUGGCGGGGGAGCAC